Molecule: transfer RNA, 65 nt
Filed under: Salmonella enterica subsp. enterica serovar Montevideo str. OH_2009072675
Lineage: Bacteria; Pseudomonadati; Pseudomonadota; Gammaproteobacteria; Enterobacterales; Enterobacteriaceae
Also listed under: 1 other name
Description: tRNA-OTHER
Rfam family: tRNA
About the family: Transfer RNA (tRNA) molecules are approximately 80 nucleotides in length. Their secondary structure includes four short double-helical elements and three loops (D, anti-codon, and T loops).
Source: RNAcentral
CCAAGCGGUAAGGCACCGGAUUCUGAUUCCGGCAUUCCGAGGUUCGAAUCCUCGUACCCCAGCCA